CAACCCUCAAGCUCAGCUUGGUGUUGGGACUCGCGGUAACCCGCGUUCCCCAAAUCGAUUGGCGGUCACGUCGAGCUUCCAUAGCGUAGUAAUCAUACACCUCGUUACUGGUAAUCGUCGCGGCCACGCCGUUAAACCCCAACUUCUGAA
This 150-nucleotide unclassified non-coding RNA is filed under the name Botryosphaeria dothidea. RNAcentral's name for it is "sequence contains ITS2". Lineage: Eukaryota; Fungi; Ascomycota; Dothideomycetes; Botryosphaeriales; Botryosphaeriaceae. The record is from RNAcentral.